RNAcentral lists this ribosomal RNA (465 nucleotides) under uncultured bacterium. RNAcentral describes it as "partial 16S ribosomal RNA". It matches the Rfam family "Bacterial small subunit ribosomal RNA", at positions 338 to 795 of the family's 1533-position model. The record is from RNAcentral.
CCUACGGGAGGCAGCAGUAGGGAAUCUUCCACAAUGGGCGAAAGCCUGAUGGAGCAACGCCGCGUGGGUGAAGAAGGUCUUCGGAUCGUAAAACCCUGUUGUUAGAGAAGCAAGUGCGUGAGAGUAACUGUUCACGUUUCGACGGUAUCUACCCAGAAAGCCACGGCUAACUACGUGCCAGCAGCCGCGGUAAUACGUAGGUGGCAAGCGUUAUCCGGAUUUAUUGGGCGUAAAGGGAACGCAGGCGGUCUUUUAAGUCUGAUGUGAAAGCCUUCGGCUUAACCGGAGUAGUGCAUUGGAAACUGGGAGACUGGAGUGCAGAAGAGGAGAGUGGAACUCCAUGUGUAGCGGUGAAAUGCGUAGAUAUAUGGAAGAACACCAGUGGCGAAAGCGGCUCUCUGGUCUGUAACUGACGCUGAGGUUCGAAAGCGUGGGUAGCAAACAGGAUUAGAUACCCGAGUAGUC